AUUGAAUGCUGGCGGCAUGCCUUACACAUGCAAGUCGAACGGCAGCACGGGUGCUUGCACCUGGUGGCGAGUGGCGAACGGGUGAGUAAUACAUCGGAACAUGUCCUGUAGUGGGGGAUAGCCCGGCGAAAGCCGGAUUAAUACCGCAUACGAUCUACGGAUGAAAGCGGGGGACCUUCGGGCCUCGCGCUAUAGGGUUGGCCGAUGGCUGAUUAGCUAGUUGGUGGGGUAAAGGCCUACCAAGGCGACGAUCAGUAGCUGGUCUGAGAGGACGACCAGCCACACUGGGACUGAGACACGGCCCAGACUCCUACGGGAGGCAGCAGUGGGGAAUUUUGGACAAUGGGCGAAAGCCUGAUCCAGCAAUGCCGCGUGUGUGAAGAAGGCCUUCGGGUUGUAAAGCACUUUUGUCCGGAAAGAAAUCCUUGGCCCUAAUACGGUCGGGGGAUGACGGUACCGGAAGAAUAAGCACCGGCUAACUACGUG
This 486-nucleotide ribosomal RNA is filed under the name uncultured bacterium. Its description in RNAcentral is "partial 16S ribosomal RNA". It matches the Rfam family "Bacterial small subunit ribosomal RNA", at positions 30 to 507 of the family's 1533-position model. The record is from RNAcentral.